GGGGGUGUUCUGGAUUCUACCCUUGGUUGGAGUGCGCCGCUGCCUGUCGAGAGUCGUGGGUCUCUCGUUAACUCCCCUGCGAAACAAAUAAACGGCAAAACUGAAGAAAUGCCCCUGGCAGCCUAAGUGCAGCCACGUUGGUCUAGCGACACCUGCUAGCUGGAACUAACGUCGACAGCAGGCAUGGCGCGUGGAGCGGUCCGCGGACCGCGCGCUGUAUCUUCGAUCCGGGGACUGGCUGGUGUCUCAGCGCGCGUGAUGGCGUGGCACCGGCGAGAUCAAAGUCACGCUAAACAUGGUAGACGCGGUGCGCGAAGGUCAGGGGCACGCGGGUUCAACUCCCGCCACCUCCACCA
RNAcentral lists this transfer-messenger RNA (356 nucleotides) under Opitutaceae bacterium. It matches the Rfam family "transfer-messenger RNA". From Rfam's summary of the family: Bacterial tmRNA, also known as 10Sa RNA or SsrA, is named for its dual tRNA and mRNA-like properties. Its role is to liberate the mRNA from a stalled ribosome. The record is from RNAcentral. Lineage: Bacteria; Pseudomonadati; Verrucomicrobiota; Opitutia; Opitutales; Opitutaceae.